GGGUGAGUAAAACUAGAGAAAAGUGUGAGUAGACCCAAAGCAAAGGGUGUGUAAGUCCGGAGUAAAUAGUGAGUAAAGCUGUAGUAAUUUCUGUGUAAACACAAAGUAAAGUUGUGAGUAAAAUAAAUGGUGUACAUUGUUAGGAAACACGGAGUAAAGUGUGAGUAAACCCAGAGAAAAGAAUGAGUACACCUGGACAGCAGUCUGAGUAAACCCAGAUUAAAGGGUUGGUAAAGGUAGAGUAAAGUACGAGUAAUACCCAGAGUAAGGUGUGACUAAACCCAAAGAAAAUUGUGAGUAAACCCAAAGUAAAGGAUGCGUAACCAUGAAGUAAAGAGAGAGUAAACCUGGAGUAGAGGGUGAACAAAGCUUGGAGAAAAGUGUGAGGAAACAUGGAGUAAAAUAUGUGUAAAACCUUGUGUAGAAUGUGUGUAAAACCUGAUGUAAAGUGUGAGUAAAGCUAGAGAAAAGUGUGAGUAAACCCAAAGUAAAGGGUGUGUAAGCCCGGAGUAAAUAGUGCGGAAACCUGGUGUAAAUUGUGAGUAAACCCAAAGUAAACAUAUGAGUUAAACCUGGCAUACAUUGCUAGGAAACCCGGUGUAAAGUGUGAGUAAAGUGAGAGUAAAGUGAGAGUAAACCUAGAGAAAAGUGUGAGUACACCAGGAUUAUAGUGUGAGUAAGCCCGGAAUAAAGGGUUAGUAAAGCUAGAGUAAAGUGUGAGUAAUACCCUGAGUAAGGUGUGACUAAACCCAAAGUAAAGUGUGAGUAAACCCGGAGUAACUUGUGCUUAACCAUGUAGUAAAGAGUGAGUAAACCUGGAGUAAAGAGGGAACAAAGCUUGGAGAAAACUGUGAGGAAACAUGGAAUAAAGUAUGUGUAAACUGUGGUGUAGAAUGUGAGUUAAACCUGAUGUAAAAUGUGAGUAAAGCUAGAGAAAAGUGUGAGUAAAACCAAAGUAAAGCGUAUAUAAGCCCGGAGUAAAUAGUGAGGAAACCUGGUGUAAAUUGUGAGUAAACCCAAAGUAACCUUGAGGGUAAAACCUGGAGCAUCUUGUUAGGAACCCCGGAGUAAAUUGUGAGUAAAGCCCUGAGUAAAGUGACAGUAAACCCAGAGAAAAGUAUGAAUAAACCUGGAGUGAAGUGUGUGAAACCCCGGAGUAAAGGAUUAGUAAAGCUUGAAUAAAGCGUGUGUAAUACCCAGAGUACGGUGUGUGUACACCAGAAGUAAAGUGUGAUUAAACUCGGAGUAAA
RNAcentral lists this long non-coding RNA (1250 nucleotides) under Gallus gallus (chicken). RNAcentral describes it as "lncRNA (ENSGALG00010002327.1)". Lineage: Eukaryota; Metazoa; Chordata; Aves; Galliformes; Phasianidae. The record is from RNAcentral.